CUUAUGCAAAUGUGUACACUCUUUGCUUCUGUCAUCAUGUUUGUAUGAAUCAAAAUACCUUUGGAACACAUAUAUGACGAUUAAAGCAUAACAUUCAUAGUCGUAUGUCUCCUUGUGCUCAAACUCGUGACUUCACGAUAGACACAGAAACGUUCAUUUAACAGCAAGUACAAACGUUGUAAAUAAGGAAAGCUAAUUUAUACAGUGAUAUUUUGAAAAUAUCAGAUGGAGGGAGUUAUUGUGGACCAUCAAUCUCGGAUACACUCAAAAGAUAAUUCAUGCUAUAGACGUUUAAAAAUUCCGUCUGGACUAGUUUCGAAAUAUUACCAAUAGUGUGCUGAAUUAGGGUAAGGUUUAAGGUAUGUAUGCAAAUCAUACCAAACUUAUCCAGUUUUGUGACAUUUACCGAUUGUAUUUUACCUCAUAGUGUUUUAACUUCAUUAAGUAUAUAGAUAUUGAUUUUCAAACAAUGAGGGACAAUUGUUUUGUCUUCGAGGUGAUACAAAUAUAAUCUAUGUGACAUUUUUCGACUAGUUUGUGAUUUUUUACCUAUUAUAAGUAUAUUUGUUAUUAUACCAUUGCAUGUUGUUGUUUUACACAAUGUUUCUGACCAUUAAUGUUACUACACACGUGUCAAUUUCUAUAUGGAUAUACAUACAGAAACAUAUCCAUUUGCGUGACAUUUUUCGACUUUAAUGCGCUUUCCUCUGCAUAUUACGACCAGCAAUGGCUUUUGUUGUUUAGUCAUCCAUUUGAUUGUCGUCUUGUCGCAGUUCCUAUCCGUCGGUUAAAUAAUUGAACAAGUAUAAUAUUUAUUUCAUCACUUGCAUACAUAAAAAAUUAUGUUAUCAGGUCCCGCUGCUUUUUCAGAUUUAAGGUGUUUAAUAGAAAGUCUCACUUCAUCUUCCUUAUUGUCAGUAUUCAAUAUAAUAUUCUUUAAUCUCAUCCAAAUCUUCAUCUGUUUCAACAUCUAUCAAAUGUUCAUUUUUGUCCGCCGCUUUAUCAUUUUUUAAUAAACUACCAAAGUGCCUAACCAAUUCUUUGGUUGAUAUGUUGUUAUGGAUGUCUCGACAUUGUGUUAAACCAUCAACGUCGAUAACCUGACAUCAUUAGAAUAUAUUAUAGUAACAAAUAUCUAAAAAUUAUAUAUCCUAAAAGAAAUGGAUAUCUUACAGCCUCAGGUGACAAUAAUGCGUGAACUCUUGUGUAUAAAGUGAAUUGGGAAGACAUAAUAUGUCAAUUAUAAAAUUGUUAAUUUAAAAGUGUUAAAUAUGUGGUUAAAAUCACAAAACUCAUAAAAAACAUUGUUGAAAAAAGGAUAAGGGCCGAAAGUUAUUCGAGGGCAAAAACAUCACAAAGAGCUCGAAAAAUGUCACAACGUUGCCUAUAUGUCGAACCUAAGUCAAAACCCAAGUUUAACAUUGGUCGGGAAAUCAUAACUUGAAAACAAUCGAUGUCAGAACAAAAGAUGCUUUUAUUAAAGCAAUAAAAAGGGUUAAAUCAAUCACCAGCAAAACAAAUUAGUCAACAGGAUAGUUUUAAAGACAUUGAAUCAUGAAGUCGAAUCAGU
Molecule: long non-coding RNA, 1570 nt
Organism: Mya arenaria
Lineage: Eukaryota; Metazoa; Mollusca; Bivalvia; Myida; Myidae
Exons: 3
Source: RefSeq, a predicted model, not a curated record